Molecule: ribosomal RNA, 443 nt
Filed under: uncultured bacterium
Lineage: Bacteria
Description: partial 16S ribosomal RNA
Rfam family: Bacterial small subunit ribosomal RNA
Source: RNAcentral
CCUACGGGUGGCAGCAGUGGGGAAUAUUGGGCAAUGGGCGCAAGCCUGACCCAGCAACGCCGCGUGAAGGAAGAAGGCUUUCGGGUUGUAAACUUCUUUUGUCAGGGACGAAGCAAGUGACGGUACCUGACGAAUAAGCCACGGCUAAUUACGUGCCAGAAGCAGCGGUAAGACGUAGGUGGCAAGCGUUAUCCGGAUUUAUUGGGGGUAAAGGGGGUGUAGGCGGGAAUGCAAGUCAGAUGUGAAAACUAUGGGCUCAACCCAUAGCCUGCAUUUGAAACUGUAUUUCUUGAGUGCUGGAGAGGCAAUCGGAAUUCCGUGUAUAGCGGUGAAAUGCGUAGAUAUACGGAGGAACACCAGUGGCGAAGGCGGAUUGCUGGACAGUAACUGACGCUGAGGCGCGGAAGCGUGGGGAGCAAACAGGAUUAGAUACCCUUGUAGUC